CGCCUCCUGCCCAUAUAAAAAUAUAGGAGGUCCCGCCUGCCCUGUGACCAAAAGUUUAACGGCCGCGGUAUUUUAACCGUGCAAAGGUAGCGCAAUCAAUUGUCUUUUAAAUGGAGACCUGUAUGAAUGGCAUAACGAGGGUUUAACUGUCUCUUUUUUCUGGUCAAUGAAACUGAUCUACCCGUGCAGAAGCGGGUAUACCCACACAAGACGAGAAGACCCUAUGGAGCUUUAGACGCCCACCAACCAUGAAGAGCAGCCUGCCUAACAGGCCCCCAAACUACAUGGCCCUGGUAUAAACGUCUUCGGUUGGGGCGACCACGGGGGAAAGCAAAGCCCCCGAGAGGAUUGGGGGAAACCCUAAAACCAAGAGCCACAGCUCUAAGUCACAAAAUAUUUGACCGACAAUGAUCCGGCUUUUGCCGAUCAACGGACCAAGUUACCCUAGGGAUAACAGCGCAAUCCCCUCCCAGAGUCCAUAUCGACGAGGGGGUUUACGACCUCGAUGUUGGAUCAGGACAUCCUAAUGGUGCAGCCGCUAUUAAGGGUUCGUUUGUUCAACGAUUAAAGUCCU
RNAcentral lists this ribosomal RNA (574 nucleotides) under Dorosoma cepedianum (American gizzard shad). Its description in RNAcentral is "partial large subunit ribosomal RNA". It matches the Rfam family "Bacterial large subunit ribosomal RNA", at positions 1816 to 2597 of the family's 2925-position model. The record is from RNAcentral. Lineage: Eukaryota; Metazoa; Chordata; Actinopteri; Clupeiformes; Clupeidae.